RNAcentral lists this small RNA (405 nucleotides) under Oryza sativa Japonica Group (Japanese rice). RNAcentral describes it as "sRNA Os02g0728850". The record is from RNAcentral. Lineage: Eukaryota; Viridiplantae; Streptophyta; Magnoliopsida; Poales; Poaceae.
CACUCACCAGUAGGUAGACAGGUAGCUUUUUAUAAAUUAACUGGUGCAUUUUUCAAUGUUUGUUUGCAUAGCAUCCAACUUCUCAAGUACAUAUUCCACCUUUUUGCAACUAAUCUCAUUAGCAAUCCUUGCACUGUAGUCAGACUUCUCAAAUGGGCGAUAUUCGCAGGCACUUUUGAUUUCCUCACGCAAUGUCGGCAAGAUAGUACCUUGAUGGUGAGCAUGUACUCGCGGCAGUGGGCAACGACUUUCUCGGGGCGGGGACCCUGCGAGUUCCCAAGCUCCUCCAUGACCGCCCCCGCCAGUUGCAUCAGCUGGACUAUCCGCUGCUCGACAUGGUUGAGGCGUUGCAGUGAGCUGCUCUGGCUUUGCGGAAGCAUCGCUACCACCAGAGAGGAGGAGGGG